ACCCGCUGAAUUUAAGCAUAUAAGUAGGCGGUGAAUAAGAAUCUCAUGAGGACCCCUUUAGCAAUGGCGAGUGCAUCAGGGCAGGCUCAGUUUGGAAAUCGGAGCAUAUAGCCAUGAAUUGUAGGGUCGCGAUGUGCUACCAGUUGAGAUGCAGUAAUACGCCCCUGGAAAAGAGCAUAGAUAAGGGUGACAAUCCUAUGUGUCAUCUGCAGCUUUCAGUGCACGGUGUAUCUUCUAAGAGUCGCGUACCUUGGGAAUAGUGCGUGAAACAGGUGGUACAAUUCAUGCAAAGCAGUAUCUGUGUUUGAGACCAACAGCAAACAAGUACCAUGAGGGAAAGGUGAAACAGAACUCUGUAAAGAGAGGUAACAGUGUCUGAACCUGCUGGAAGGGAUAUGGAGGGCACCAGUGUAGCCUGGCGAGAUUGCUGUGUGCAUGUGUGAAUGCCUGCUGCAUCUAGCAAUGAUGCAUUAGGUCAGAUGCAAAAUGCUUACAGUGUCUCUACCCUACCAGCCAUUGCCAGCUCAUUGCAUUCUGACACCACCGGGAAAUAUGGCAGCCUGCCUCGGUGCUGGUGAACACUUCUUCCCAGCUUGUGCAUGCCCUGCUCGGUACAAUGCGUGGGCCCGUUCAUCCCGUCUUGAAACACGGACCAAGGAGUCUAGCAUGCCUGCGAGCUCAGGGGUGGCAACCAUCUAUGUUUGCGCAACGAAAAUAUUGGCUGGUAUAUGUGCACCGGCAACAAACUUCUCGCUGAUGGGAAGUCUGAGUGUGAGCACACCUGCUAGGACCCGAAAGAUGGUGAGCUAUGCCUGUGGAAGGCAAACCCAGGGGAAACUCUGAUGGAAGCCUGUAGCGGUACUGACGUGCAAAUCGUUCGUUGAAAAUGGGUAUGGGGGCGAAAGACUAAUCGAACCAUCUAGUAGCUGGUUCCCUCCGA
This 940-nucleotide ribosomal RNA is filed under the name Protoperidinium crassipes. RNAcentral's name for it is "LSU rRNA". It matches the Rfam family "Eukaryotic large subunit ribosomal RNA", at positions 23 to 964 of the family's 3401-position model. Lineage: Eukaryota; Dinophyceae; Peridiniales; Protoperidiniaceae. The record is from RNAcentral.